GGGAGUAUAACUCAUGGGUAGAGUGUGUGCUUAGCAUGCAUGAGGUCCUGGGCUCAAUCCCCAGUCCCUCCA
This 72-nucleotide transfer RNA is filed under the name Camelus ferus (Wild Bactrian camel). It matches the Rfam family "tRNA". From Rfam's summary of the family: Transfer RNA (tRNA) molecules are approximately 80 nucleotides in length. Their secondary structure includes four short double-helical elements and three loops (D, anti-codon, and T loops). Further hydrogen bonds mediate the characteristic L-shaped molecular structure. tRNAs have two regions of fundamental functional importance: the anti-codon, which is responsible for specific mRNA codon recognition, and the 3' end, to which the tRNAs corresponding amino acid is attached (by aminoacyl-tRNA synthetases). tRNAs cope with the degeneracy of the genetic code in two manners: having more than one tRNA (with a specific anti-codon) for a particular amino acid; and 'wobble' base-pairing, i.e. permitting non-standard base-pairing at the 3rd anti-codon position. The record is from Rfam by way of RNAcentral. Lineage: Eukaryota; Metazoa; Chordata; Mammalia; Artiodactyla; Camelidae.